UAUAGCACAGUAGUUAUAUAAUAGAAGAGUACAAAUUAAAUUAAAUUAAGCACAUAGGUAAUUUAUAUAAUAAAGCCGGCAUCCAAAGUAAAUUUAACAAUACUUUUAAUAGUGAAGAUGCAAUAAGUAUUGAGAAUGGAGUGGAGAUUAAAAGGACAAUUUAAAGAUCUAAGAGUAUUAAUUAAGACUAGACGUUCGGAUACCAGAGCAGAGCAAUCGAAUAAUAUAUGAGAUGGAUCACAAAUACACUAAUUGAGAUGAAAUUUACAAAAUGGAAAGUUGUUUAAACCAAGUUUGAACGAAUGACUAGAUAUUUAAAUCGUGUACGAUCAAAUAUUUUUUGAGGGAGAAAGAAGAGGAGAGUAUGACGAGUAGGUUAUCUAUUAUAGCAAUCAGAUUUUUCAUUGAAAAUUUGUCAUAUGAAAAUGCAGUCACUAUAAUGUCCCUUCACUGAAUUGGUACCUAUACAGUGCGUGUUCAACGAUAAAGGUACCUGACAUGAAAUAUUUCGAACAUAUAACACUGAAUUUCAUUUGGGAUUUUUCAUUACAUAAAGAACUUAAAAUUACAUCUAUUUUUGAAAAAAUUUAAUUUUUAAAAAAAUGUCCCCGCGUGCGCAACGAAACAAUUUUUUAAUUGUACCCCUUUUUUAAGUUAAAAUUUUUUUUUAACACUUAUUUGGAAACUAUAUAUCUGUGAGGGUAAUUUACAAUAAGCAUAUAUGCGGUGUUUAUGUGUUUUUUUACGUGAAUUUCCAUGAGUUUAACGAACUACCCAACAGUAGUACUUAUGCGUGAAGGGAGUUUAAAUUUAAGUUAUUUUAUUCAAGCAAUUUUGAUUUAUAGAAUUUUUUUUAUUUCAAAAAUGUAUAUAUUGAGAGACUUAUUAAAGUUUUGAUUAAUGUUUUAUCGUAUUUUUUGACAGUCUAUCAACAAUUCUAUAGUGUUUUGUUCGAUUUUGUAUGUGAAAAUAAUUUAAGGGUGAUUUGCUUGCCAACCUACACCUGAACUAUCAAGAAAAAACAUGCGAAAUCACACUGGACAUUGAGAAAUUGUAGGAGGUGUGUAUAAAUACGAUGAAUACAAAAGCAUAAAUCCAAACAUUAACUCACAAUUAAUUUUUAAGAUGUAACAUAGAAAAAUAUUUUAUAAAUUAUAAGUCAAAGUAGCUUAAGAAAUUAAAGUAAUACAAAUUCCAACCUAAACAAGUGGGACGCAUAAUUUAAAAUAAUACACUGAACAUUUUUUUUUUCAAAUUUUAAAACCUUUAUGCAGUGGAAAAAAUUGAAAUUGAGAAUGAAAUUUAAAGUUAUAAGUUCGAUAUAUUUCGUGUUACUUUUAUCGUUAAAUAUACUGUAUUUGUGUAGGCUUAUAAUAAAUAUGAAUUUAUAUUAAUAGGCUUGUAUUAUAUAUUUAU
Long non-coding RNA from Myzus persicae (green peach aphid), 1416 nucleotides. RefSeq lists it as uncharacterized. NCBI's taxonomy places the organism in Eukaryota, Metazoa, Arthropoda, Insecta, Hemiptera, Aphididae. The record is from RefSeq and is a predicted model, not a curated record. The transcript has 2 exons.